RNAcentral lists this non-coding RNA (30 nucleotides) under Homo sapiens (human). Lineage: Eukaryota; Metazoa; Chordata; Mammalia; Primates; Hominidae. The record is from RNAcentral.
UGUGAACCCAUGAGGCUUGCCAAGUAGGGA